Molecule: non-coding RNA, 87 nt
Organism: Gymnopilus junonius
Lineage: Eukaryota; Fungi; Basidiomycota; Agaricomycetes; Agaricales; Galerinaceae
Source: the annotation of a GenBank genome assembly
CCGACUUUAGCUCAGUUGGAAGAGCAUCAGACUGUAAUGUGUGACAUAAUCAUCUGGGUGUCGCCUGUUCGAACCAGGCAAGUCGGA